AUUCUUUGUCAACUAUUUAUUAUUGGCAAAUUUUUGAUUGUGUUGUUUAAAGAGAGAAAGAAUUUUGGUCAACUAUUCUAUGAUGAGACCAAAGAUAAUUCUAUCAAUCUAAAACUUUCAUUGCCAUGGUUCAAUGAUUAUGUCAAAAAUAUUUUUUAUCCAAGACAAACACCUGACCAUUCUACCUUGGUAUCUUAUAUAAGAAAAAUCUAUAAUCC
This is a long non-coding RNA of Xenia sp. Carnegie-2017, 218 nucleotides long. RefSeq lists it as uncharacterized. The transcript is spliced from 3 exons. The record is from RefSeq and is a predicted model, not a curated record. NCBI's taxonomy places the organism in Eukaryota, Metazoa, Cnidaria, Anthozoa, Malacalcyonacea, Xeniidae.